This 248-nucleotide unclassified non-coding RNA is filed under the name uncultured fungus. Its description in RNAcentral is "sequence contains ITS2". Lineage: Eukaryota; Fungi. The record is from RNAcentral.
AACGCACAUUGCGCCCGCUAGUAUUCUGGCGGGCAUGCCUGUCCGAGCGUCAUUUCAACCAUCAAGCCCCAGGCUUGUGUUGGGGCCCUGCGGCCGUCCGCAGCCCCCGAAAAGCAGUGGCGGGCUCGCUAUCACACUGAGUGCAGUAGUAUCUCCUCGCUCUGGUCGUGUGGCGGGUGCCGGCCGUGAAACCCCCUACUUUUACAAAGGUUGACCUCGGAUCAGGUAGGAAUACCCGCUGAACUUAA